This 552-nucleotide ribosomal RNA is filed under the name uncultured fungus. RNAcentral's name for it is "eukaryotic LSU rRNA". The stretch from base 177 to 330 matches the Rfam family "5.8S ribosomal RNA". The record is from RNAcentral. Lineage: Eukaryota; Fungi.
CUUGGUCAUUUAGAGGAAGUAAAAGUCGUAACAAGGUUUCCGUAGGUGAACCUGCGGAAGGAUCAUUAGUGAACGCCCUCACGGGCUUAUAACUAUUCCAAACCUCUGUGGACCGUGCCCUUCGGGGCUAUUUUACAAACAUGGUGUAAUGAACGUCAUAUAUCAUAACAAAACAAAACCUUCAACAACGGAUCUCUUGGCUCUCGCAUCGAUGAAGAACGCAGCGAAAUGCGAUAAGUAAUGUGAAUUGCAGAAUUCAGUGAAUCAUCGAAUCUUUGAACGCACCUUGCGCCCUCUGGUAUUCCGGAGGGCAUGCCUGUUUGAGUGUCAUGUAGACUCAAUCCCUCGGGUUUCCGAGGAGAUUGGACUUGGGUGUUGCCGCUCUGCCGGCUCGCCUUAAAAGACUUAGCGGGAUAGCACCGUAGUCGGCGUAAUAAGUUUCGUCGGUGAAGGUUGUGAUGACUGCUUACAAUCGCCCUCGGGCAAUUUUUGGCUCUGACCUCAAAUCAGGUAGGACUACCCGCUGAACUUAAGCAUAUCAAUAAGCGGAGG